Molecule: long non-coding RNA, 2413 nt
Filed under: Pongo abelii (Sumatran orangutan)
Lineage: Eukaryota; Metazoa; Chordata; Mammalia; Primates; Hominidae
Description: lincRNA
Source: RNAcentral
AAAAUAUGAACAAUCAUAGUUUCAUGCUUUCAGGAAACCACCUUCUCUUCCAUCCUCUCCUUUGGCCUGCUCAGACAUCCAGACUUCUUAAAAAUAUUUUUCCCACAGGCUCAUGCAAAUUAAGGGAUGUGGCUGAGCAUCUGCUUCAGUGUCCUCAAGCAGGUCAUGAAUGUUGCAAAGCCCAGAAUUGUGCUAACCUGGUAGAAGGCUGGUUUAGCCAGAACACACAGAGAGGACCUUCUCAUGAUGGUGUGGCUGAAUUCCACAUGUUACUAACAGUAUCUUGCCCUGACCCGACUCCAAGUACUGAUCCCCAAGGAAGGCAUAAUAGAGAGCCCAUCUUGGGGAUGGAUGAUGACUUCAUGUGCAAAACAAGUCAAAUUCAGGAUGUGUGUUGUGGGCAGAGAUGGCAAUGCCCAGUCAUCUGUUAGGUAUACAGGUCUGCUGUACAGGAGAAAAAUCAGAACAGAAUUUAUGUUUGUAGUGUUUCUUUUAGAGGCUGGGGAAUUGAAACCACAGGUGAGUAAGAAUGUACAAGGAACCAGACCUUCUUGAAGAAAUAGCUGAUCCAGAUUGGUGUCAGGAGCUGUACAGGGGGAUCCAAGAAUGUCUUGUCAUACAAGCCGGACAGCUAUUAAAGACAACUGAGGUCAUGGCAAAAGGGCCCAGGCUUCUACUGGCCAACAAUAAGACAAUUUGAGCAUCCCAAAGAAUAAUGACUUUAGUGGACUGAAACACAUCAACAUGUAUACAUCCAUGAAUUCAUAAUACUCAAAACGGUAAAACCAAAUUCAUUUGUUACCUUUGGAGGAGUCUGUCACCUCUGAUUAUUCUGAAAACUGGUAAAUAAAAGGGGAAAAUUCAAGCAUUUAUUCUGUUUUUCUUGUAUAAACUGUACCUCACAGUUACUGAAGAGCUGAUAAGGGAAAUGUCUUCUUUAUUGAAAAAUUCAGCUGAUACAUUUGGAAGGAAUGAGAGAAUUAGAGUAUCACCAUUAGGUGACAACGAGGGUCCAGUUUUUUAUUUUUCUUUUGCUGAGUGCUGGGAACAUAGUGAUAACAAAAAAAGCCAUGGUGUUCUGGCCCUUGUGGAGUUUUGAUUCUAGCACAUUAAUCAAAUAAUCCCAGAGCAAAAAUAAAAUGGCAACUAUGGUAAGUGUAGACAAGGGAAAAUACACAGAACUUUUAACAGCUUAGAUCCGAGGAAGCUGACCAGCCUGCAAAAAGGGACAGCUUCCCUAGGGAAGUGACUUUGGAGCUGUGACGAUGGAUGACUAAGAGUUAACCAAGGAACGGAAGGAGGGACGAGGAGACACAGAAGGCUUUCCAGGCAGAAGCCAGAGCAUGUGCAAAGAUCCUGUGGCAAGAAGGAGCCUGGUGCAGGGGAGGAACGAAGAGACAUGCAAGCUGGCUGGAGUUCAGAGAGGGAGAUGGGCCGGCAGGUGGUUGGAUGGGGAGGCAAGGAUCAGAUCAUGAGUCCCUUGGAGAAGCAGGAAGGUAUCAUGAUGACUAAUGUCAGAGGCAGGGGAGGACAGGUAGGGAUAGACAGAGAAGCAGUGCUGGGAAGAUGCUAAAAUGCUGCAGUUUGUGCUUGGAAAGAUCAUGGCCUGGUUCUUCCAUUGUCAUGAUGGGUUGUUCUCUUUCUUAUUGUUUUUCUAAUUUGUCUUGACUAAUGGAGAAGAUCAGGAGCUCAAAAGAUAGCGGUUGUUUACAGCACUCAGUUUGGCUGCUAUAGGUUAAUGGGUUUAGACUCUUUAAGGGGAUUAGGCUUUUGCUCAGAGACCAGUGGAGUAUUCUAGCCAGGCUGUCUUGUGAAGGUGGUAUGUUAAGAACUAGGUUUGUCUGAUUUAUCAAAUUAAAAUGUGGUAUAUCAAAUUAAAUUUGAAUUUCAGAUAAAUAACAACUAAUUUCAGAUGUGUCAGAUAAAGAAUGAAUAUGGCUCUAGUACAAUAUGGGAUAAUGAAUAUUUUCAGAUAAAUAGAUGCCCUGUAUUCUGUGUAGCAAGCAUAACUAGAGAAUCAAUGUUAGUGCUCAAACUAAGAAGACUUUUGAGAAAUUAUCAGAGGUAAAUACAAAUAUACAUUUCCAUCCAUCCAUCCAUCCAUCCCUGUUGAGCUCCAACUAUGUGUCAGACACUUCUGGGGGGUUGAGGGUAUUGUGAUCAGUAAGACAAACUCUCUGCCUUUAUGGUGUUUACAUACUAGGAGAAAAAUAUUCAUCUUAGAGAGAUUAUAAAAAACAAAUCUUCAGAAAUAGUACCUGUUACAUCCAAAAUAGAGGAAUGUAUAAAUAAAUGUUAAUAUGAUGGACUAACACGCAGCCAUUACAAAAAUCCUGUUUUGAAGGCUAUUAAAUGUCAUGGUGAAUUGAUUCCAAUAUAAAAUCAAAUGAAAUAAAAGCAGUUCACAAAACCA